CAGCAAGCACCAGCUCAUAUUCUAAAACUAAAAAGAUGAAGAGAAGAUUACUAUGGCUCCUGCACAAGGGUGAUAUGCUUAUUCUGUAACUGUGUCGUACACAA
This 104-nucleotide small nuclear RNA is filed under the name Lepisosteus oculatus (spotted gar). The record is from RNAcentral. Lineage: Eukaryota; Metazoa; Chordata; Actinopteri; Semionotiformes; Lepisosteidae.